Molecule: long non-coding RNA, 1286 nt
Filed under: Penaeus japonicus
Lineage: Eukaryota; Metazoa; Arthropoda; Malacostraca; Decapoda; Penaeidae
Description: uncharacterized LOC122268028
Source: RNAcentral
CCUCUCUUUGUAUCUCUGUCUUCUCUUAUCUUCUAUUCUCUUCCCUUCUCCCCUCUUUCCCUUUCCUCAAUUCUCUUCUCUUCUCCCCUCCUGUCCUUUCUUCUAUUCUUUCCUUUUCCUUGCGUGUUUGCCUGGUCAUUCGCUUAUCUCUCGCUACCUCACUCCUCCACCUCCCCCUCCUCCUCCUUGCCCCUGGAAGCUCCGCCCUCAUUCCUCCAACUUGCCAGUUGCAGUCCAUCUCUCGCCGUCUCCGGAUGCUUCCUCACUGCGGUUGAAUCAGAUUUUCCCGAAAGAAAUUACUCUUCGCCUCCUGUCAACUUUAGUGCUUGGAUCAUACGAAUUCUUUCUACAUCUCUCUGAAAGGUAACUACAUGUAUAUUUCUUGUACACUUAUUGUUCUGCCCCCCCUUAUUUUCAUUUUCAUUUUGAUUGUUUUCAUUAACUGGUUGAUAUUACUCUGUGUGAUCAAUGAAUUUAUCGUACAAGUAAUUGUCUCUGCCCCUUUAUCUUCAAUUUUGUUAAUGUGUCUACGCUAUUUUAUAUCAAUUCUACGCUUCCACUGUCCACUUCUCUUUUUUUAAUUUCAUUUACUUUAUCUUGUUAUUUUUUAUGGUUCUUUUUCCCUCCCUCUAUUUCUUUUUCUCCUCCGCCAUUUUUUCCUUCUCUGUUUGUCUGUCUGUCUUACUCUCCCUCUCUCUCUCCGGUUCCCUUUCGCUGUUUUUUUUAUAUUAUCAUUCUUGCCCAUUUUUUUCUGUUUCGUCUUUUCGUGAGGGAAAUGCACAGUGGAAACAGAUUUUCCCGAAAGAUAUUACUAUUCGCCUCCUGUCAACUUCAGUGCUUUGAUCAUACGAAUUCUUUCUACAUCUCUCUAAAAUGUCAUACCGGGCUAUAGAGGAACAAUCAGAAUCUAUAAGAGUGAACACAGUACUGGUGCGAAAAUUAGAAAAAGUGUAAAUUGUGCGGUGCGAUUGAAAUAAGAAAAGAAAGAAAAUUACUGUUUGUGCGUUGUGAACUCUGAACUGAUAAUCCAUCUUAGUAACUGGUGCGAAAAUUAGAAAAAAGUGUAAAUUGUGCGGUGCGAUUAAAAUAAAAAGAAAGAAAAUUACAGUCAGAAUCUAUAAGAGUGAACACAGUACUGGUGCGAAAAUUUGAAAACAGUGUAAAUUGUGCGGUGCGAUUGAAAUAAAAAGAAAGAAAGAAAAUUAUAGUCAGAAUCUAUAAGAGUGAACACAGUACUGGUGCGAAAAUUAGAAAAAAGUGUAAAUUGUGCGGUGCGAUUGAAAUAA